GUUUUCUCAGGAUGAAUUGACCAAAAGGUUCAGUGUAGUACACACUUUCGCUCUGUGGGCACUUAGCAAAUACUUAUUAACUAAUUGGCUACAAUUCCUCGUCUACUGGUGGGAAAAUGGGGAGGUAAAAUAAAUUAGCUAGACCUCCAUGCUUCCUUAGUCACCCAAAGGAAGAGUUAUUAGUGGCUACAUACAGUGACUAAAAAUAGACAUCUGGUCAGGAAAAUCUGAAGAGAGAGAGACUAUCGGGGCUGCUUUUGGUAAACAGUUACACAGGAUACUUCACAAGAUACGUGAAGAGAGUCUUUGAGGUAAAAUCAAAUCCCUAUUAGGAUAAAUGAUUGAGUGUUCCUGUAAAGAAUUGUUCCCCUGGUUCAAGCAACCAGAUUUCAUUCCCAGAUGAUCAAAAAUGGACUUGAUGAAAUGGAAAAGCACUGAUAGAAACAGCCGUCGAUAUAUAGCUAAGGAUGAUAACAAGCACAACAAGGACUUACAGCAUUUGCUUUGCACCAGACACCAUCUAAAACACUUCACAAAUAUUAACUCAAAGGAACCUAUCAUUUCCACUGCUCAAAAUUACUCCUGAAGGGAUGAGGACACCAGGAUAUGCCACCGGACCACUGAAGGAAUGGUGAUGGUAUGAAGAAAGUAUUUUUAAUGAGCAGAGCCAUUGUUUGCUCUGCUCUGUCCUCACCCCUCAAGAGAAUUUCCCUUAUUAUUAUGAAAACUUUUUAUCUUAAAAGAUAUUACAUGUUAAUGGAACUGUCGUUUAACAAAUGUUUUAUAAGUGUACCAAUCAAGCACAUUGUCGAAAUAAAAGAUAUGAAAUAAGUGAAAAAAA
RNAcentral lists this long non-coding RNA (841 nucleotides) under Homo sapiens (human). Its description in RNAcentral is "HSALNT0109346". Lineage: Eukaryota; Metazoa; Chordata; Mammalia; Primates; Hominidae. The record is from RNAcentral.